Molecule: ribosomal RNA, 253 nt
Filed under: uncultured bacterium
Lineage: Bacteria
Description: partial 16S ribosomal RNA
Rfam family: Bacterial small subunit ribosomal RNA
Source: RNAcentral
UACGAAGGGGGCUAGCGUUGCUCGGAAUCACUGGGCGUAAAGCGCACGUAGGCGGCUUUCUAAGUCAGGGGUGAAAUCCUGGAGCUCAACUCCAGAACUGCCUUUGAUACUGGAAAGCUUGAGUUCGGGAGAGGUGAGUGGAACUGCGAGUGUAGAGGUGAAAUUCGUAGAUAUUCACAAGAACACCAGUGGCGAAGGCGGCUCACUGGCCCGAUACUGACGCUGAGGUGCGAAAGCGUGGGGAGCAAACAGG